Molecule: ribosomal RNA, 370 nt
Filed under: uncultured organism
Description: bacterial SSU rRNA
Rfam family: Bacterial small subunit ribosomal RNA
Source: RNAcentral
CGUAGGCAGCGAGCGUUGUUCGGAGUUACUGGGCGUAAAGCGUGCGUAGGCGGUCUUGUAAGUCUGGUGUGAAAUCUCCCGGCUCAACUGGGAGGGUGCGCCGGAAACUGCAAGGCUGGAGUAUGGGAGAGGUAGGCGGAAUUCCUGGUGUAGCGGUGAAAUGCGUAGAUAUCAGGAGGAACACCUGUGGUGUAGACGGCUUACUGGACCAUGACUGACGCUGAGGCACGAAAGCGUGGGGAGCAAACAGGAUUAGAUACCCUGGUAGUCCACGCCCUAAACGACGCAUACUUGGUGUGGGUAAUUCAUUUUAUCUGUGCCGGAGCUAACGCGUUAAGUAUGCCGCCUGGGGAGUACGGUCGCAAGGCUG